UAGCAAACAGGAUUAGAUACCCUGGUAGUCCACGUCCCUAACGAUGUAUACUAGUUGUUGCUAAGCUAGUCUUGGCAGUAAUGCAGUUAACGCAUUAAGUAUACCGCCUGGGGAGUACGGUCGCAAGAUUAAAACUCAAAGGAAUAGACGGGGACCCGCACAAGCGGUGGAGCAUGUGGUUUAAUUCGAAGAUACGCGAAGAACCUUACCUGGACUUGACAUCCUAAAAACAUCUAAGAGAUUAGAAAGUGCUAGUUUACUAGAAUUUAGUGACAGGUGCUGCACGGCUGUCGUCAGCUCGUGUCGUGAGAUGUUG
This 316-nucleotide ribosomal RNA is filed under the name Bacteroidaceae bacterium de-9. Its description in RNAcentral is "bacterial SSU rRNA". It matches the Rfam family "Bacterial small subunit ribosomal RNA", at positions 766 to 1077 of the family's 1533-position model. The record is from RNAcentral. Lineage: Bacteria; Pseudomonadati; Bacteroidota; Bacteroidia; Bacteroidales; Bacteroidaceae.